Molecule: ribosomal RNA, 497 nt
Filed under: uncultured bacterium
Lineage: Bacteria
Description: partial 16S ribosomal RNA
Rfam family: Bacterial small subunit ribosomal RNA
Source: RNAcentral
GACGAACGCUGGCGGCGUGCCUAAUACAUGCGAGUUGAGCGCUGAAGGUUGGUACUUGUACCAACUGGAUGAGCAGCGAACGGGUGAGUAACGCGUGGGGAAUCUGCCUUUGAGCGGGGGACAACAUUUGGAAACGAAUGCUAAUACCGCAUAAAAACUUUAAACACAAGUUUUAAGUUUGAAAGAUGCAAUUGCAUCACUCAAAGAUGAUCCCGCGUUGUAUUAGCUAGUUGGUGAGGUAAAGGCUCACCAAGGCGAUGAUACAUAGCCGACCUGAGAGGGUGAUCGGCCACAUUGGGACUGGGACACGGCCCAAACUCCUACGGGAGGCAGCAGUAGGGAAUCUUCGGCAAUGGAGGAAAGUCUGACCGAGCAACGCCGCGUGAGUGAAGAAGGUUUUCGGAUCGUAAAACUCUGUUGGUAGAGAAGAACGUUGGUGAGAGUGGAAAGCUCAUCAAGUGACGGUAACUACCCAGAAAGGGACGGCUAACUACGUG